Molecule: long non-coding RNA, 696 nt
Organism: Neofelis nebulosa (Clouded leopard)
Lineage: Eukaryota; Metazoa; Chordata; Mammalia; Carnivora; Felidae
Exons: 2
Source: RefSeq, a predicted model, not a curated record
CCCAACUAACAAAACCCAAAAAACCAUAGCUCUUUUAACAGAGAGGAUUUAGGGGCACCUGAGUGGCUCAGUUGAUUAAGUGUCUGGCUUUGGCUCAGGUCAUGAUCCCAUGGUUUGUGGGUUCGAGCCCCGCAUCGUGCUCUGUGCUGACAGCACAGAGCCUGGGGCCUGAUUCAGAUUGUGUGUCUCCCUCUCUCUCUAUUGCUCCCCCACUCGUGCUCUUUGCCUCUCUCUCAAAAAUAAACAUUUUAAAAAAAUUUAAAAAAAGUAGAGAAGAUUCAGCUUUCUUGAGUAAUUAAACACCUGAUAAAGUCAACACAGGAAAUUAUUUUGCCAGGACACACAAUCUUUGUUUUCUCUGAAGAUUACGUUAAGAGGUGAAGAAAAAUCUUUCAUACCCUCUUAGCAAGAACAGACCAAGAGUCCAAGAAAACUUUGUCCUUUUAACCGAGAGACAGCCAAAUUCUAAUUUUGCACCAACUUACUUUUUAUAUUAAAGCUUAUUUGCUUGGGGUGCCUGAGUGGCUCAGUCAGUUGGACAUCCAAUCUUGAUUUCUCCUCAGGUCAUGGUCCCAGGGUUGUGGGAUUGAGUGCUGUGUUGGGCUCCAUGCUGAGCGAGCAUCUUGCUUAAGAUUGUUACUCUCUCUCCCUCUGCUUCUCUCCUCCUCUUGUGCUCUGUCUCUGUCUCUGUCUCUC